Prinia subflava (tawny-flanked prinia) is the source of this 1539-nucleotide long non-coding RNA. RefSeq lists it as uncharacterized. The record is from RefSeq and is a predicted model, not a curated record. The transcript is spliced from 3 exons. Lineage: Eukaryota; Metazoa; Chordata; Aves; Passeriformes; Cisticolidae.
CUGACCCAAGAUUGGUUUUCUCUCUGUAAAUACAGGCAGAAUUUGGGUUGAGGCUUUUAUGUGUAGCAAUUAAAAAAGCAGGGAAAACUUGGCUUCCGCUCAUCCCUGAGCUCAGGUUUCGCUUGUUUUGUUGUUUGUGGAACAGUUUAGGGUGUUUAGAUGUGAGUGGCCAGGUGUUUCCAAUAUUGAACCUCUUCGUGUGGAAACGUGCACAGAUAAGAGAGCUCAGCCUGUCACAAGCCUUGGUGGUGUUCAUUCAGCGUUUGAAGUUCUGACUUGAAAGGACUGACUUCUGAGCAAUCGAGGCACAGAGUCCCAGCCCCUCUCUUUCAGCAGGAACUCUGGGACAGAGGUUCAGAUUAGGAGCUGGAUUAGUUCUCCAGUGAGUACCCCGUGCCUCGGUGGGAGCUGAGUGAGGGUUUCAGCUCCACAGUUCUGCUUAGUCUUGGACCUCCCCCCUGAGGAGGAAAGGUCAGUAUUUAUGCCCUUAGCACCUUGUGGAUAACUAUGAUGUUGUUUCUUGCUUUCUUGUAUUUUCAUCUUUGGAAAGUUAGAGGGUUUUCUUCAAAAUGCAUUGUUACUGAAGUUGAGCUGUCUUAAAUCUUGCAAAGAUUAUAGUUUGUAGUUCUGUAACUUUUCAAAUUUGGAAUGAGUUAAAACUUUCAUUUCAACUAAAGUUCUCUACUCUGUGCUUUAAAAUCCAGGCAGAUUUGCACCCCUAUAGCUAAAUAAAUUAAAGAAUUAGGAGAAUUCAGUGAUAAAUUGUGAAAAAGGCAGCCCUGGUGUUUUUUUUCUUUUUUUUUUUUUUCUCCCUGUGCUCUUCACGUGUGUUUAAGCUGUUUAAGUUUUUCUUACUUUUCUGCUUUCCCUGCAAACAGUGUUUAUUCAUCCUAGGAAAACAUCAGUUGGGUAAACAGAAGUAUUUGUCUGUGUAGCACUGCAACUCCUACUAAGAUGCAAAUUGUGCUGCAGGGAAGAUAGUUUGGGCUUUUCUUUCCUCCUUGCUUUUCUUUUUUGACAGUCGGUUAAUAAAGACUCAACAAUAAGCAGCUGCCUGUGAUGUCAUUUGGGACUUUGUCCACAGAGCUUGUAUUUACAAGUACUGAGCAACUCCACAGCAGCAGCAACCCCAACUAUCAGCAAACUUCAUGUCUGCUGUUACUGGAGGACUUUGGUGCUGUGCAGGGUGUAGAAAGCUAACUCUGUUCUUCUAACCACAGACUUUUAAAGCUUGGUAAAUAAACACUGGAUAAACUCAAGAGAAUUUCUGCGCUGCAAAGACUUCUUACGGUUCUGAGCUCUCCAGGGCUGGCAUGUUUUGACUGAACUCCUGCAAUGAUGCUGAAAGCAGCCUGACAUUUCAGGUCGACCAAAAGGAAAACAAAUAACCUCAGCUAUGGAGAAAAAAAGACAGCUACAGAAAAGGGAAUUUGGGAAAAGACUUUCUCUGGACAGCAGUCUUGUGGAAUAUAUGGACUCCAACAAAUACAUAGAGCAUUUAGUGACUCAGCUGGAAGAGCAACGCUGGAAUUUAUGGAG